CUUACCAUGCAGUCGAACGCUGAAGCACCCAGCUUGCUGGGUGUGGAUGAGUGGCGAACGGGUGAGUAACACGUGAGUAACCUGCCCCUGACUUCGGGAUAAGCCUGGGAAACUGGGUCUAAUACCGGAUAUGACUACUGGCCGCAUGGUCUGGUGGUGGAAAGGGUUUUACUGGUUGGGGAUGGACUCGCGGCCUAUCAGUUUGUUGGUGGGGUAGUGGCCUACCAAGACGACGACGGGUAGCCGGCCUGAGAGGGCGACCGGCCACACUGGGACUGAGACACGGCCCAGACUCCUACGGGAGGCAGCAGUGGGGAAUAUUGCACAAUGGGGGGAACCCUGAUGCAGCGACGCCGCGUGCGGGAUGACGGCCUUCGGGUUGUAAACCGCUUUCAGUAGGGAAGAAGCGAAAGUGACGGUACCUGCAGAAGAAGUACCGGCUAACUACGUGCCAGCAGCCGCGGUAAUACGUAGGGUACAAGCGUUGUCCGGAAUUAUUGGGCGUAAAGAGCUCGUAGGUGGUUGGUCACGUCUGCUGUGGAAACGCAACGCUUAACGUUGCGCGUGCAGUGGGUACGGGCUGACUAGAGUGCAGUAGGGGAGUCUGGAAUUCCUGGUGUAGCGGUGAAAUGCGCAGAUAUCAGGAGGAACACCGGUGGCGAAGGCGGGACUCUGGGCUGUAACUGACGCUGAGGAGCGAAAGCAUGGGGAGCGAACAGGAUUAGAUACACUGGUAGUCCAUG
Molecule: ribosomal RNA, 743 nt
Filed under: Brevibacterium sp.
Lineage: Bacteria; Bacillati; Actinomycetota; Actinomycetes; Micrococcales; Brevibacteriaceae
Description: bacterial SSU rRNA
Rfam family: Bacterial small subunit ribosomal RNA
Source: RNAcentral